This 458-nucleotide ribosomal RNA is filed under the name uncultured bacterium. Its description in RNAcentral is "partial 16S ribosomal RNA". It matches the Rfam family "Bacterial small subunit ribosomal RNA", at positions 338 to 795 of the family's 1533-position model. The record is from RNAcentral.
GCUACGGGGGUCAGCAGUGAGGAAUAUUGGUCAAUGGCCGGAAGGCUGAACCAGCCAAGCCGCGUGAAGGACGAAGGUGCCAAGCAUUGUAAACUUCUUUUGUCAAGGGACAAAAUCAGGCUCGAGAGCCUGACCGAGGUACUUGAAGAAAAAGCAUCGGCUAACUCCGUGCCAGCAGCCGCGGUAAUACGCGGGAUGCGAGCGUUAACCGGAUUUAUUGGGUUUAAAGGGUGCGUAGGAGGGCUGUUAAGUCAGCUGGAAAAGCCCGGGGCUCAACCCCGGCGAGCCGUUGAUAAUGGCUGUCUUGAGAUGUCGAGAGGUAUGCGGAAUGCGCAGUGUGGCGGUGAAAUGCUUAGAUAUUGCGCAGAACUCCGAUUGCGAAGGCAGCAUACCGGCGGCGAUCUGACGCUGAGGCACGAAAGCGUGGGUAUCGAACAGGAUUAGAUACCCUAGUAGUC